Cricetulus griseus (Chinese hamster) is the source of this 116-nucleotide ribosomal RNA. The record is from Ensembl. NCBI's taxonomy places the organism in Eukaryota, Metazoa, Chordata, Mammalia, Rodentia, Cricetidae.
UAUAGCAUUGCCACCAAGAAACACCCAAUCUCCUAAGAGUCCGGAAGUUAAAUUAAGCAGGCUUGGGCAUGUUAGCACUUUGAUGGGAGAAAGACAUAGCCCAAACUAUGUUAUUU